RNAcentral lists this ribosomal RNA (841 nucleotides) under uncultured bacterium. RNAcentral describes it as "bacterial SSU rRNA". It matches the Rfam family "Bacterial small subunit ribosomal RNA", at positions 8 to 810 of the family's 1533-position model. The record is from RNAcentral.
AGAGUUUGUCCUGGCUCAGGACGAACGCUGGCGGCGUGCCUAAUACAUGCAAGUCGAGCGAGCUUGCCUAGAUGAUUUUAGUGCUUGCACUAAAUGAAACUAGAUACAAGCGAGCGGCGGACGGGUGAGUAACACGUGGGUAACCUGCCCAAGAGACUGGGAUAACACCUGGAAACAGAUGCUAAUACCGGAUAACAACACUAGACGCAUGUCUAGAGUUUGAAAGAUGGUUCUGCUAUCACUCUUGGAUGGACCUGCGGUGCAUUAGCUAGUUGGUAAGGUAACGGCUUACCAAGGCAAUGAUGCAUAGCCGAGUUGAGAGACUGAUCGGCCACAUUGGGACUGAGACACGGCCCAAACUCCUACGGGAGGCAGCAGUAGGGAAUCUUCCACAAUGGACGAAAGUCUGAUGGAGCAACGCCGCGUGAGUGAAGAAGGGUUUCGGCUCGUAAAGCUCUGUUGGUAGUGAAGAAAGAUAGAGGUAGUAACUGGCCUUUAUUUGACGGUAAUUACUUAGAAAGUCACGGCUAACUACGUGCCAGCAGCCGCGGUAAUACGUAGGUGGCAAGCGUUGUCCGGGUUUAUUGGGCGUAAAGCGAGUGCAGGCGGUUCAAUAAGUCUGAUGUGAAAGCCUUCGGCUCAACCGGAGAAUUGCAUCAGAAACUGUUGAACUUGAGUGCAGAAGAGGAGAGUGGAACUCCAUGUGUAGCGGUGGAAUGCGUAGAUAUAUGGAAGAACACCAGUGGCGAAGGCGGCUCUCUGGUCUGCAACUGACGCUGAGGCUCGAAAGCAUGGGUAGCGAACAGGAUUAGAUACCCUGGUAGUCCAUGCCGUAAACGAU